AAACCAAGUUUACAGUGCUGAAGAUAAAAGAGCCCUUGCAAUGUAUAACUAUGAAGAAAAAGCCAAACGUGAGCGGAAGGUGAUGGAUGAUCUUCAGCGGCUUGUUCAGCGCCACAUAGGUCAUGAUGUUGGCCCUUCACAUGAUCCUUUUGCUGCAUAACCUCAUUUGGCGCCAUAUUGAAAUGUGUAUGUAAUCAUAUUCUUAAGGUAGGAAGAAAU
This 219-nucleotide unclassified non-coding RNA is filed under the name Hevea brasiliensis (rubber tree). Lineage: Eukaryota; Viridiplantae; Streptophyta; Magnoliopsida; Malpighiales; Euphorbiaceae. The record is from RNAcentral.